GACGAACGCUGGCGGCGUGCUUAACACAUGCAAGUCGAACGGAAAGGCCCUGCUUUUGUGGGGUGCUCGAGUGGCGAACGGGUUAGUAACACGUGAGUAACCUGCACUUGACUUUGGGAUAACUUCAGGAAACUGGGGCUAAUACCGGAUAGGAGCUCCUGCUGCAUGGUGGGGGUUGGAAAGUUUCGGCGGUUGGGGAUGGACUCGCGGCUUAUCAGCUUGUUGGUGGGGUAGUGGCUUACCAAGGCUUUGACGGGUAGCCGGCCUGAGAGGGUGACCGGCCACAUUGGGACUGAGAUACGGCCCAGACUCCUACGGGAGGCAGCAGUGGGGAAUAUUGCACAAUGGGCGGAAGCCUGAUGCAGCAACGCCGCGUGCGGGAUGACGGCCUUCGGGUUGUAAACCGCUUUCGCCUGUGACGAAGAGUGAGUGACGGUAAUGGGUAAAGAAGCACCGGCUAACUACGUG
This 468-nucleotide ribosomal RNA is filed under the name uncultured bacterium. Its description in RNAcentral is "partial 16S ribosomal RNA". It matches the Rfam family "Bacterial small subunit ribosomal RNA", at positions 28 to 507 of the family's 1533-position model. The record is from RNAcentral.